GAUUGCUUGCAGCCGUAAAAAUAGCGUCCAGCCGAAAAUCAAGCUACAUGUAGCUAGUCGAAAAUCCGGCCCGAAUUUCGUGCCAAUUUCAGCCUGGUCAAUUUCAGCCUGGUGUCAGACAGUACAGUGGAGACAUGGACACUGUUUAAUCACUAAUGAAAAUAAUUUCGAUGAAAUAACAGUAGGCCUACUAUCAAGACUAAAAAGCAACUCACAUAGUUAAGGUAGCAACAGUAAAAUGAAAUUACCAUGAAUCGGAGGCAGAAAUUCUACAGUAUUGACAGGCAACGAGAAUUAGGCUUCAGGAAUGAACGAGCCACAAGAGACGCCAUCGUUGGAAGCACAGAUUUUAUGCAGAGAUUGAAACUGGAAGCCAAGCUGGAUAUUCACAGAGGAUGUGUGAAUACUAUCAGCUGGAAUGAUAGUGGUUACAGAAUCCUGUCCGGUUCUGAUGACAAACAACUUUGUAUUUCUGAUCCAUACACACGCAAGAAACUUACCAACAUAGCAUCUGGACAUCGAGCUAAUAUCUUCAGUGCUAAAUUUAUGCCAAUGUGCAAUGAUAGUCAGAUUGUUUCAUGCUCUGGGGAUGGUCAAAUAGCAUUCAAUGAUGUGGAGAAUUCUGCACACCAUGGUGAACAUAUGUUCAACUGCCACUAUGGGACUGCUUAUGAGGUGGUAACUGUGCCAAAUGACCCAUACACUUUCCUGUCUUGUGGUGAAGAUGGCACUGUCCGAUGGUUUGAUCUUCGCAUCAAGAAUAAAUGCACGAAGGAAGAAUGUCGAGAGGAUGUGCUUAUCAACUGCCGUCGUGCUGUGACAUCACUAGCAAUCAAUCCCAUCAUGCCUUAUCAUCUAGGUGUUGGUUGCUCAGACAGCUCAGUACGUGUGUUUGAUCGUAGGAUGCUUGGAACUCGAUCAACAGGUAACUACAGCGGUCGAGGUGUACAAGGUAUGUUCUGCCGUUUCUGUCCGUCACAUCUUCAAAAUAAAUACAGUCGGCCAACAUCCCUCCAGUAUUCCACUGCUGGUAAUGAGAUACUAGUUAGUUACUCUUCAGAUUACAUCUAUUUGUUUGGUGCGGAUAAAUCCAAGAAGGAGACAGUAUGGGAACAGCAAGAAGGGUUGUCUGAGAUAAGUCUGGGGGCCUCAGGAGGAUCGGCCAUACCUGAUGUUGAUGAGAAUCCUGUGGUCAAUCCAAUCAAGCGGCUACGUCUCCGUGGUGACUGGUCUGAUACUGGACCCAAAGCAAGGCCAAGAGCUGAACAGGCUGGGUCUCAACCCCGUCUUACUAUCAUCCAACGUAUGUCUGAGAUGCUAACUCGUUGGUUAGAUGACACAACGUCCUCUCACGCUAGACGUGCAGCUGCAGCAUCAUCAGGUGAAGCUGGCCAUUCCCAAGAACAACCAUUGAGUGAUACAGCAGGGCCAUCCACAUCACAGCAAACACAACUUGGCCUAGUGGAAGGUGCUCUUCCGACACGAAAGGUACUGUCAGCUGCAGCUACAACGAGCAGCCGUCACUAUUGCGAACAUGGCGACGCAUGGUCAUAAUCGUGACAUGCCACGUCGGGCAGAGCAUUUCAGAAACAAGAGAGGGCCCGGGUGCUUGAAGAAAUAAAGCAGGACCCCCCAUCAGAAGUGUUGGAGGAGGGAGCACCAGAGGCAGAAACAUCCACAGUAAG
RNAcentral lists this unclassified non-coding RNA (1685 nucleotides) under Acanthaster planci (crown-of-thorns starfish). Its description in RNAcentral is "dDB1- and CUL4-associated factor 6-like, transcript variant X5". Lineage: Eukaryota; Metazoa; Echinodermata; Asteroidea; Valvatida; Acanthasteridae. The record is from RNAcentral.